GGAAAAUAUGCAGUCGAUUGAAUUUGUUUGUAUCCAAUUGACGAGGAACCAUGUCAAAAUCUCCGGUAGAAAGCAAUGGCUGAAAACUGAUAUUAUGGUCAGAUAAAUGUUUUGUAAUAUGCACAUCUGCCUUCUGCUUGUCUUCAAGUUCAACUAAGCUACAAAGUGAAUAUUGGUCCGCAGCAUUCUUAGCAACAACAGAAGCUAUCUGUAGAUCCUGCAUAAUUAGAGUCACACAUUCUGUAAGUCGUCCACUUGGAUUAUCAUCUGUAUUUGUUGCUGAUGGUUUGAUGCCAGCUAAACUCUCCUUGGUGGUGUCACUACUUUCUCACAGAAUCUUUUUAUGUGGUAAACUUUCAUCCAUGCAUAUGUCUUUCACAGUUUGAUAGACACCAGUAGCGGCCUUAUCUGCAUAUAGCUCAAUAUUCUGGAUUUCAGCACGAAGAUCAUCUGAUUCAGAUGGCAUAGGUUUAUUCUCAUUUUGGUUUUGAAUCACUGAAAUAUCCUUGCUGAUAUGAUUGGGAAGAGACGAUUCUAUAUCUUGAUAUGGUUUUCUAUCUACUAAUUCUGCAAGAUCAUUUUCCCCUUUCUCUGUAGUUACAGCAUCUAACUUCAACAUGUUCAGCUGUUUCUCACUAUGUUCUGAGAAUUUGGGAGUAAGCUCAUGACUCAGAGAUGUAGG
RNAcentral lists this long non-coding RNA (682 nucleotides) under Musa acuminata (dwarf banana). RNAcentral's name for it is "long non-coding RNA (MACU_LNC007304)". Lineage: Eukaryota; Viridiplantae; Streptophyta; Magnoliopsida; Zingiberales; Musaceae. The record is from RNAcentral.